Homo sapiens (human) is the source of this 2820-nucleotide long non-coding RNA. RefSeq lists it as uncharacterized. The record is from RefSeq and is a predicted model, not a curated record. Lineage: Eukaryota; Metazoa; Chordata; Mammalia; Primates; Hominidae. The transcript is spliced from 3 exons.
AGAAUAAGGGCUGGUGUAGUAAUUUUAAUUUCAUAUGCAUACUUCAGUAAUUAUUUAAACUUGUUAUUUAAGUUGAAGUCAAUUUAUAAAUAGUAUUGGAACAUGUAAAAAUAUUAAGAUUUGCUGAACUUACAAAUUUAAUUCAUAGCUUUAAGGGUUAAGUAUUAGUUUUAUAUGCUAAAUCAGAAAAUUGGUGUAUAAAAAGGCUAUAGGAUGGUAAUGAUGAUGGAUUUGACACUCUUAUAACUCCCCUCCCUCUUAAAAUCCUACUAAAGCUAUAGCAAAGAAAUUAUCUUUUUUAAAAGAUAGAAAUCCAUAAGGAUGGGAAGAAAAGGCAAAAAGACAAUGGCAAUACAUUUUGGAAGCUGAAAAGUAGAAUGACUGUUAAAUUACUUUAGCAGGUGCAAGAAACCUGAAUCUUAAUCCUGAAAUGGAGAAAGCCAAGAACGUCCUGAUCUAAACUACAGAGCCCUCAGAAGACUCAGAACAACACACAAGUUCUUGGGAAGCUACUGGAGGAUGUGUGUCAUCAAAACAAGGGAAUCAGCAGUCCUGUAUCUAUGAAGAAACAACUGGAAAUGAUAGGUUCUUGAAUUCCAAUUUUCUUUUAGGGCUCACAUUCUCCUCUGUUAAGUGCAUUCCCAAUCAGCUUCUUUCCUCAGGUUGGAAAGUGGCUGCCAGCAGCUACCAAGGUGCUAUCCUUCCAGAUUCACAUCCUGCAGAAAGAGCAUGAGAUUCCUGGCAGAAGAUUUGAGAUGCACUCAAAGUAUACUGGCUGAAGUCGGGCCUUAAGUCUGGAUGGGAUGCCCCUUUACCUGCUCCCAUUGGGUCCCGUACUUCCACCUUCAUAACACUAACAAUGCUAGAGUGUGGCAGCUCUCAAAGUGUCAUCCUCCAGCAGCAUCAGUAUCACCUACCUGGACAUUUCACAGAAAUGCAGAUUCUCUGGCUCCACCCACAUCCUCUGAAUCAGAAACUGUUGUGUGUGUGUGUGUGGGGGGGGGGGGUUCCGCAAGAUAUCUGUGCUUUAACAAGCCCUCUAGAAGAUUCUGAUGCACUCCCAGCUUGAGAACUCUACUUGCUCUAAUGCGAUUGCCUGUUUACUGUUGGGAUCCCACACCAGAUGUAAGCACCAGGAGGCAGGGCCGCAUCUGUUCCAUUCAACACUGUAUCUGCCAAGCCCACAGUAGGUGCUCUCCUAAUUCUAUGUGGUAGACUUCAAAAGACAAAGAAAGUGUUAUUCUCACUGGCUCUGGCCUGGACCAAGAGAAUGCAGGUUUGAAAGUUUGAGAUUUUUUUUGGAGGGGGGUGGUGGCAGUAAUCUUUUGGAAAACAUGAAGCCCAGUAACUGUCUGAGGCUAAACCGAAAGCACUGGUAAAGGGUUUAAGAUUCUAACGAUUCUUCCAGAACAACCAGCCUGACAAUGAGUAAUAUGCAGUUUGAUGUGAAAAUUAGAAAACUGGCAGAUGAACCUGCAAAAGGGAAAUUGGAUUUCCAGAGAGACGAAUGGGAGGCCAUGCGGCUGAAUAGAGUUCAUAAGAUGCAAACGCAUGCAGGGAGCUGCAGCCCCCACUCGUUCCCAGUGUGCAAAGGAAGUUCCUGCAUCGCGUGCCUAUUAUUUAUUUAUUUAUGGGCAAAAAGCGAGAGUUCCAUGGUGUGGUGUUUAUUAUCAAAAUGGAUGGAUUCAAUAUCAAGCAAUGAUGUGUUCAAAAUGAAAGCCACAUCAUUAAGUGUCACAGGCGUUUAUUAACACAGUUCCCUCCUUAGUCGAAUAAAACAGCCGUUAUCCCACCAGGUCCCACACUCUCGCUUGCCUUUUUUCUUUGUCUGGCUUUGGCAGAGUCUCCGUUUCUGGAGACAGCUUGGCCGACAGCAAAUCUGGGCAAAGCAGAGAUAUCCAAGGGAAGGUAAUGAGGGAUGGAAGACUCCUAGACAGUAGUUUUAGCAAAGAGGAGUCCAUCCUCUAAAAGUACAAGCAUUACUUGUUAACUGACUGCACUCUCACAACCAUCUGUGCCAUUAGCUUGUCCAUUUAUUGUCUAUCCCUUUUCUCCUCUCUCUAACCUCUUCUCUCAUUGCAUAUUAUUAAAAUCAAGAAAUGGCUUCCAUUCUGUGAGCUGUGACUUCUAACGUGGCCACAUAGCUGGUGGAGAGGUGACAACCUUCAUCUCCAAGGAUCCCCUGCACUGCUUGCUUUAUGCCCAGAGCAACCUCAUGCUGACAAGGACUGCACAGUUUUGAACACCCAUGCUCCAAUCAAAAGAAACCAAUUUGUGAGAGACGAUAUAAAUCCAUGAAUACUGCACUGAAACCUCUUUCUGCUCCAGGCAGAGAAGAUAAAUUACCACCCGAGUGAUAUAAAGUUAGUUUGAAUAUUUCAUUGGAUCAAAUGCAACAUGUCUCAGAACCUCUCCUCUUUUAAGUCAGAAUUAAAGAAUUGUUAUCAGGCAUAAUAAUAGACACUAUCAUUUGCAUACAUUUUAUCUCAAGAGACUUUUGAAGUUAUGCAAUACGCCAGUGGUUAAUUGUUCUUCACACUCCUGACAUAUCAAAUUACAGCUCAGAUGAGAGAGCAACCCAUUUGUGACUGGAAUGAUUGGCAGGAGCCUACAAGGAGAGCAUCUUCGAGGACUGAAGGAGGAGUAUCUUUUCAGGCUUUUCCAUGGAGACCUUGGAGACCAUGGGUUCUAGAUGGUUCUGUUAUAACAUGAUGGAGACUUCAUUAGUCUGGGUUCCUAGACGAGUGUGAAACACUUUCCCCACUGAUUGAAUUACAAUUAUAAUGUGAAAGAAAAAUAAAUCUUUAUUGUGUAAAACUA